RNAcentral lists this ribosomal RNA (516 nucleotides) under uncultured bacterium. Its description in RNAcentral is "partial 16S ribosomal RNA". It matches the Rfam family "Bacterial small subunit ribosomal RNA", at positions 28 to 523 of the family's 1533-position model. The record is from RNAcentral.
GACGAACGCUGGCGGCGUGCCUAAUACAUGCAAGUCGAGCGGACUUGAUGAAGUGCUUGCACUUCUGAUGGUUAGCGGCGGACGGGUGAGUAACACGUAGGUAACCUGCCUAUAAGACUGGGAUAACAUUCGGAAACGAAUGCUAAUACCGGAUACGCGAAUUGGUCGCAUGGCCGAAUCGGGAAAGACGGAGCAAUCUGUCACUUAUAGAUGGACCUGCGGCGCAUUAGCUAGUUGGUGAGGUAACGGCUCACCAAGGCGACGAUGCGUAGCCGACCGGGGAGGGUGAUCGGCCACACUGGGACUGAGACACGGCCCAGACUCCUACGGGAGGCAGCAGUAGGGAAUCUUCCGCAAUGGACGAAAGUCUGACGGAGCAACGCCGCGUGAGUGAUGAAGGUUUUCGGAUCGUAAAGCUCUGUUGCCAGGGAAGAACGCUUGGGAGAGUAACUGCUCUCAAGGUGACGGUACCUGAGAAGAAAGCCCCGGCUAACUACGUGCCAGCCGCCGCUGUAA